Molecule: small nucleolar RNA, 106 nt
Organism: Gossypium raimondii (Peruvian cotton)
Lineage: Eukaryota; Viridiplantae; Streptophyta; Magnoliopsida; Malvales; Malvaceae
Rfam family: Plant small nucleolar RNA R71
About the family: R71 is a member of the C/D box family of snoRNAs containing the C (UGAUGA) and D (CUGA) box motifs.
Source: Rfam
AUCUCGUGGUGAGGGCAUUUACAUAGUAGCUCUUUUAAUUUUUCCCAUGCCUCGUAUAAGGACUCAUCCUCCAUCUGCUGAAAAGUGGUGAUCUCAUUCUGCAACU